UACAGAGGUCCCAAGCGUUGUUCGGAUUCAUUGGGCGUAAAGGGUGCGCAGGCGGCCAUGCAAGACAGAUGUGAAAUCCCCGGGCUCAACCUGGGAACUGCAUUUGUGACUGCAUGGCUAGAGUACGGUAGAGGGGGAUGGAAUUCCGCGUGUAGCAGUGAAAUGCGUAGAUAUGCGGAGGAACACCGAUGGCGAAGGCAAUCCCCUGGACCUGUACUGACGCUCAUGCACGAAAGCGUGGGGAGCAAACAGG
This 253-nucleotide ribosomal RNA is filed under the name uncultured bacterium. Its description in RNAcentral is "partial 16S ribosomal RNA". It matches the Rfam family "Bacterial small subunit ribosomal RNA", at positions 524 to 776 of the family's 1533-position model. The record is from RNAcentral.